UAAAUUUUAUUUAUUAAUUUUAUUUAUUUAAGUAUUAUAUUUAAUAAAAAUAAUUUUAAUUCAAUAUAGUUUUAGUAUUUUUUAAAGAAAUAAUAAUUUUAAUAAUAGUUUAUUUGUAUUGUAAAAGAAGAUUGAAAUAAUUUGAAAAAUUUUUAUUUUAAAAGAAAAUUUAAUUUAUUGUACCUUGUGUAUCAGGGUUUAUUAAUUAAUUAAUUAUUAUAGUAAUUUUUCUCGAAUUUUAAAGAUUUAAUUAUAUAUAAAAGUUAUUGUGGAAUAAUUAUUUUUAAUAUAUAAUUAGAAAUGAAAUGUUAAUCGUUUUAAAAUAUAUCUAGUUUUUUAAGAAAUAAAUUUAAUUUAGAUUUAUAAAUUAAAAGUAUUAUUUAUUUAAUAUUUUUAAUUUAUAAAAUUAAUAUUUUAAGGGAUUAGCUUUAAAAUAAAUUUUUAAAUUUUAAAAAAGUAUUUAAUAAAUGUAAGCUUAAAAAUAGUUAUCAUUAAUAAAUUUGUUAUAAUUUAUUUUAAAUUUUUUAUUAUUUAUUAUAAAAUUAAAUUAUUUAUUAAAAUAUAAAUUUUAAUAUUAAUGAUUUAUAAAUUAUGAUAAAAUUAGUAUAUUUAAUUUAUAUAAAUUAUUUAAAUUGAGAGGUUUAAAUAAGGAAUUCGGCAAAUUAUAUAUUCACCUGUUUAUCAAAAACAUGUCUUUUUGUAUUUAAUUUAAAGUCUAACCUGCCCACUGAUAGAUAUUAAAGGGCCGCAGUAUUUUGACUGUGCGAAGGUAGCAUAAUCAGUAGUCUUUUAAUUGAAGGCUUGUAUGAAUGGUUGAAUGAGAUAUAUACUGUCUUUUUUAAAUUUUUAUAGAAUUUUAUUUUUUAAUUAAAAAGUUAAAAUAUAAUUAAAAGACGAGAAGACCCUAUAGAUCUUUAUUUUUUUUAAUUAUAAGUUAAAAAGAAUAAUUAAAUUUAUAGUUUUAUAAAAAAUUUUACUGGGGUGGUAUUAAAAUUUAAUUAACUUUUAUUAUUUGUUUACAUUAAUAUAUGUAUAUUUGAUCCAAUUUUAUUGAUUAAAAAAUUAAGUUACCUUAGGGAUAACAGCGUAAUUUUUUUUUAGAGUUCUUAUCGACAAAAAAGAUUGCGACCUCGAUGUUGGAUUAAGAAUUAUUUUUAGGUGUAGAAGUUUAAAGUUUAGGUCUGUUCGACCUUUGAAUUCUUACAUGAUCUGAGUUCAAACCGGCGUAAGCCAGGUUGGUUUCUAUCUUUAAUAAAUUAUUAUAUUAUAGUACGAAAGGACCUAAUAUAAAAAAUAUAAAUUUUAAAUUUAUGAAUUAUAUUAAUAUUUAAUAA
RNAcentral lists this ribosomal RNA (1334 nucleotides) under Aedes albopictus (Asian tiger mosquito). RNAcentral describes it as "16S ribosomal RNA". The stretch from base 1078 to 1237 matches the Rfam family "Archaeal large subunit ribosomal RNA", at positions 2544 to 2703 of the family's 2987-position model. The record is from RNAcentral. Lineage: Eukaryota; Metazoa; Arthropoda; Insecta; Diptera; Culicidae.